RNAcentral lists this ribosomal RNA (408 nucleotides) under uncultured bacterium. RNAcentral describes it as "partial 16S ribosomal RNA". It matches the Rfam family "Bacterial small subunit ribosomal RNA", at positions 28 to 526 of the family's 1533-position model. The record is from RNAcentral.
GACGAACGCUGGCGGCGUGCUUAACACAUGCAAGUCGAACGAAGUGGCGAACGGGUGAGUAAUACGUGAGUAACCUGCCCUCCUUUUUGGGAUAAGCCUUGGAAACGGGGUCUAAUACCGAAUAAAGGGGGAUGGGCUCGCGGCCUAUCAGCUUGUUGGUGGGUUGAUGGCCUACCAAGGCGGUGACGGGUAGCCGGCCUGAGAGGGUGACCGGCGAGAUUGGGAAUGAGCUAAGGUGAAGACUGCGACGGGACGCAGCAGUCGGGGAUGUUGCGCAUUGGGCGAUGAGCUAAUGCGGCGACGCCGCGUGGGAGAUGUGGGCAUUCGAGGUGGAAACGUCUUUGGCUAACGAACGGGUGGGUGGGGAAGAAGCGCCGGCUGACUACGUGCCAGCAGCCGCGGUAAUUC